CUUGAAUUUUAUAAGAGGUCCAGCCUGCCCAGUGACUCUGUUCAACGGCCGCGGUAUCCUAACCGUGCGAAGGUAGCGUAAUCACUUGUUCUUUAAAUGAGGACUAGUAUGAAUGGCACUACGAGGGUUAUACUGUCUCCUUUUUCUAAUCAGUGAAAUUAAUUUUCCCGUGAAGAAGCGGGAAUAUGACUAUAAGACGAGAAGACCCUAUGGAGCUUUAAACAACCCAGCAAUUACUUCUAAAAAUUUUAAAUUUCAGAAUAUUCAUUUUUUUAAGUAAUAUGUCCGCAAGUUUUUGGUUGGGGUGACCAUGGAGAAUAACUUAACCUCCAUAUUGAAUGAAUUCCAUUCUAAGCUGAAAAUUACCAAUUAAAGCAUCAACACACUGACAUUUAUUGACCCA
Molecule: ribosomal RNA, 403 nt
Filed under: Rhinella lescurei
Lineage: Eukaryota; Metazoa; Chordata; Amphibia; Anura; Bufonidae
Description: partial 16S ribosomal RNA
Rfam family: Bacterial large subunit ribosomal RNA
Source: RNAcentral